RNAcentral lists this ribosomal RNA (1223 nucleotides) under human gut metagenome. Its description in RNAcentral is "bacterial LSU rRNA". It matches the Rfam family "Bacterial large subunit ribosomal RNA", at positions 1685 to 2925 of the family's 2925-position model. The record is from RNAcentral.
GGCCAACGGGAGAAGGGUUGUUAAGGAACUCGGCAAGUUGACCCCGUAACUUCGGAAUAAGGGGUGCUCACGAGAGUGAGCCGCAGAGAAUAGGCCCAGGCAACUGUUUACCAAAAACACAGGUUUGUGCUAAAUCGAAAGAUGACGUAUACGAGCUGACGCCUGCCCGGUGCUGGAAGGUUAAAAGGAGAUGUGCAAGCAUUGAAUUGAAGCCCCAGUGAACGGCGGCCGUAACUAUAACGGUCCUAAGGUAGCGAAAUUCCUUGUCAGGUAAGUUCUGACCCGCAUGAAAGGCGUAAUGAUUUGGGCACUGUCUCAACAGCCCGCCCGGCGAAAUUGUAGUACCGGUGAAGAUGCCGGUUACCCGCGACAAGACGGAAAGACCCCAUGGAGCUUUACUGUAGCCUAAUAUUGGGUUUCGGUGUUGCAUGCACAGGAUAGAUGGGACGCUAGGAAGUGAGUGCUUUGGCAUUCAUGGAGCGGCCGUUGGGAUACCAUCCUUGCGACAUUGGAAUUCUAACCUGCGCCUCUGAAUCGAGGCGGGGGACAUUGUCAGGUGGGCAGUUUGACUGGGGCGGUCGCCUCCUAAAAAGUAGCGGAGGCGUUCAAAGGUUCGUUCGAUCUGGACGGAAACCAGAUGAAUGAGUGCAAACGCAUAAACGAGCCUGACUGCGAGACUGACGGGUCGAGCAGAGACGAAAGUCGGAGUUAGUGAUCCGGUGGUAUGUGAGUGGAAAUGCCAUCGCUCAACGGAUAAAAGUUACCCUGGGGAUAACAGGCUGAUCUCCCCCAAGAGUCCACAUCGACGGGGAGGUUUGGCACCUCGAUGUCGGCUCAUCGCAUCCUGGGGCUGAAUUCGGUCCCAAGGGUUUGGCUGUUCGCCAAUUAAAGCGGUACGCGAGCUGGGUUCAGAACGUCGUGAGACAGUUCGGUCCCUAUCUGUCGUGGGCGCAGGAUAUUUGAAAGGCGCUGUCCCUAGUACGAGAGGACCGGGAUGGACGAACCUCUGGUGCACCAGUUGUCACGCCAGUGGCACAGCUGGGCAGCUAUGUUCGGAUCGGAUAAACGCUGAAAGCAUCUAAGCGUGAAGCCGGCCUUAAGAUAAGAUAUCCCACUGAGUCAAUCAGGUAAGACCCCUUGAAGACUACAAGGUUGAUAGGCACACAGUGUAAGCGGAGUGAUCCGUUCAGCUAGCGUGUACUAAUAGGUCGAGGGCUUGACCC